GGUCCCACUCAAGAAAUGAUUAGUGUAAGUUAUUACUACCAGGACGAAUAAUGAACUCAUCUUUCUAGCACCAUCGAAGCAGACGUUAUUGUUUCACACGCAUAUACCGUACAAAUUUAAACAUUUUAUAUUCGACCUGCUAACAUUGGAAAAUACCAAGAGUGAUUCUUAAACAUUCACAUUGCAAGGAAGGCUAAGGGGGCAACCAUUCAGGUAUGAAAUGUUAGGUUUCAUGUUUAAAAUUACCUUCCACAAUACAUUAAUAGCAUUAAAAGAUGUCAAUUAAAAAAAUGAAAAGAAAGCAUUUUCUGAGGCAGAAUAAGAAAAAAAAGGACUGAACGGGGAGUUUGUUUUGAAAAAAAAAAUACAAGUACUUUUAAGAAACCAGCACCACCUGUCGGGCUAAAUAUAGAAUUACACGAGGAAAGAUUGUCCUUUUCUGACUACUUCUUUCCCAUUCGGCUCCAUUUCAGCACGAUGACGUGUCAAACGGUGACGUCAUAACAGAGGCUACACUACAUAAAGCCUUGAUGUUAGAGUGGUUCAAAUAACAGUAAUGUGUCCAAAUGUUUCAGGCUUUACACUGCAGCGUUUCAUUAAAAGUUUGGGGAAAAAUUCAGCCCCCAACCCCCGUUUCACUUCGCAACAUUAGGUCGGCAUGUCUACCAUGAGUAUACCCACAAAAAUGUCUCAAGAACCCA
This is a long non-coding RNA of Hippocampus zosterae (dwarf seahorse), 701 nucleotides long. RefSeq lists it as uncharacterized. Lineage: Eukaryota; Metazoa; Chordata; Actinopteri; Syngnathiformes; Syngnathidae. The transcript is spliced from 2 exons. The record is from RefSeq and is a predicted model, not a curated record.